GACCGAAUAGCGUAGUGGUUAGUGACUAGUGACCCUGACUACUGAGCCGAAGGUCCCGGGUUCGAUUCCCGGCUGGGGCA
RNAcentral lists this transfer RNA (80 nucleotides) under Plutella xylostella (diamondback moth). Its description in RNAcentral is "tRNA-Ser". Lineage: Eukaryota; Metazoa; Arthropoda; Insecta; Lepidoptera; Plutellidae. The record is from RNAcentral.